AUGGGGAACUUCGUGUCCUGCACCAUGGCCAUGAUCCCCGGGGCGGCCAAGGACGUCAGGAUUGUGCUCCCCGAUGGCGGGCUGAGGCUGGUCAGGCCCCCGGCGACGGCGGCGGAGCUGAUGCUCGAGGCGCCGGGCCAUUUCCUGGCCGACGCGCGCGCGCUGCAGGCGGGGCGCCGGAUCGUGGCGCUUGCAGCUGACGAGGACCUCGAGCUCGGGGGAGUCUACGCCGCCUUCCCCAUGAAGCGGCUUGGCUCCAAGGCCGUGCCCGCCGACGUUUUCGCCAGCGAGGCUCAUGCCCGGAGGCCCGCUUCGGCCAAGGUGUCGGACAUCGUCGUGGCGUCGCCAGGGGUGGCUUCCGUUGCCACCGAGGAGGUCAUCCCACCGGUCAGGACGCCGCGGUUGGAUGAGAUGGCCGCGGACAACGAGGCGGCUGCGGCAGAGAUCGGAGAGCUCAAUCAACGGAUAAGCGGCGGUCGCUUGUCGAGGCGGCGGCCCACGUUGGAGACUAUACACGAGGAAAGCUACGCCGCACUAGCAUGCUAA
Molecule: ribosomal RNA, 546 nt
Filed under: Triticum aestivum (bread wheat)
Lineage: Eukaryota; Viridiplantae; Streptophyta; Magnoliopsida; Poales; Poaceae
Description: partial small subunit ribosomal RNA
Source: RNAcentral